GCUUACGGCCACCGCCUGGUUCACGCCCGAUCUCGUUUGAUCUCGGAAGCUAAGAUAGGGUGGGCCUGGUUAGUACUUGGAUGGGGAGACCGCCUGGGAAUACCAGGUGUUGUAAGAU
RNAcentral lists this ribosomal RNA (118 nucleotides) under Scophthalmus maximus (turbot). Lineage: Eukaryota; Metazoa; Chordata; Actinopteri; Pleuronectiformes; Scophthalmidae. The record is from RNAcentral.